CACGCUAACCAUUCGAUCUCAAUUUUUGAGAAAAACGUCGCAAAAACGAGAUCGAUUCUGCCAACUCAAUUUUUGCGAUCAGUUUCUUUUGUUUACAUUCGCAAUUUUGAGUUGGCAAGAGCGAACUCAGCGUUGAGAUGACUGUUAGCGGUUUUCAAUCAGUCUUCUGCAGUUUGUCAGUGGUCGCUGUCAAGAUCAAACCGCGUGGAAGUUUCGUCCUUGUUUAUCAGAGAAAUUUGUGAAAUUGCGUGAAUUAGUAGUCUGAAAAUUGUACAGCUUUCCAGCUCGUCCUCCCGGCAGCGGUUUGUGCGCGUCCCAGCCAGUCCGUGUUUCGGCAACUCGUCCUCGUUCCGGAAGGUGGGAAAGUCUCCCUCCCGGUAGUUGUUAGUACGCGUCCCAGCUGCGGCCCGCGUUUCUGCACCCAAUCACGUUCCGGAGGGUUGUUUUCCCAGCAGUGAUUUGUGCGCGUCCCAGCAGCGGCCCCGUUCCGGAGGGUCGUCCUUUCGGCAGCUGCCCGCGUUUUAGCAACUCGACCUCCCGGAAGUAGACUUGUCAAUUAUUUCAUAUUUCUUUCAUGUAAAAUAGUAAAAAAAUAUCUUAAAAUAAAGAGAAACUUUUCAAUUUUCA
Culex pipiens pallens (northern house mosquito) is the source of this 627-nucleotide long non-coding RNA. RefSeq lists it as uncharacterized. NCBI's taxonomy places the organism in Eukaryota, Metazoa, Arthropoda, Insecta, Diptera, Culicidae. The transcript has 2 exons. The record is from RefSeq and is a predicted model, not a curated record.